AUGUUCCCUCCUUACCAGCUGCUGUCGGAUCCACCGCAACAUCCCCUCGACCGGCCGGCCGGCCUGACGGUGGCGGUCAGCUCCCUCACGGCGAGCGAGGUUAAAUUUGUAAGCAGCAUUUGGAAGAAUUCCUUCUGGGCUACAACACCUAUGAUNAUUAACCAAAGCAAAACCUGCUUUGGCAAAGCAUCAUGGAAAAUAAAAUUAUUUCCCAAGAUCUGACUGGUAUGUAUGCCCUGAUCAGUACAUCUAUCUCUGUUUAUAAGAUUGGAAAUACAUUCUCUUUACUUUCUGAAGGGAGCACUAAGAAGAUCA
RNAcentral lists this long non-coding RNA (315 nucleotides) under Salvator merianae (Argentine black and white tegu). Its description in RNAcentral is "lncRNA (ENSSMRG00000023599.1)". The record is from RNAcentral. Lineage: Eukaryota; Metazoa; Chordata; Lepidosauria; Squamata; Teiidae.